AGGCAGUAGAGAAAAGAAUGAACAAAGAACA
RNAcentral lists this non-coding RNA (31 nucleotides) under Homo sapiens (human). The record is from RNAcentral. Lineage: Eukaryota; Metazoa; Chordata; Mammalia; Primates; Hominidae.